This 289-nucleotide unclassified non-coding RNA is filed under the name Hevea brasiliensis (rubber tree). The record is from RNAcentral. Lineage: Eukaryota; Viridiplantae; Streptophyta; Magnoliopsida; Malpighiales; Euphorbiaceae.
CACAGUUUCAUCACUCCUUCCAGUCAAUUUUAGAUAUUGUAAAGUAACAUGAUCCACAGGGAAGAAUCCCAUGGUUGCACCAUACUCGGGAGACAUGUUAGCUAUAGUGGCCCUAUCUGCCAAUGAUAGCUCACCCAUACCAUCCCCAUAAAACUCAACAAAUUUGCCAACAACACCAUGCUUCCUCAGCAUUUGAGUCACAGUCAAAACCAAGUCAGUAGCUGUGACACCAUUGCGUAAUUUUCCAGAUAACUUGAACCCAACAACACCAGGCAACACCAUGCUCAUG